UGCUGCUAGCAGAAAUUUGAUUUCUGUUUCGUGUUUAGCAUAGGAUGGUCAUGUUUUUACAUUUGACAAGGACUGCUGUUCUAUUUAUUUCAUAAAUAAAUUAGUUGCACGUGGUUUUAUAAUUGACAGUCUCUAUCACUUACAUAUCGAUGUGUCUGAGCAAGUAGUGAGUGCCAUAGGAUCCAAAAGAUCCAGAGAUGAGAUAAACCAGAAGUAUUUGUGGCACCUC
RNAcentral lists this long non-coding RNA (229 nucleotides) under Phoenix dactylifera (date palm). Its description in RNAcentral is "long non-coding RNA (PDAC_LNC019078)". Lineage: Eukaryota; Viridiplantae; Streptophyta; Magnoliopsida; Arecales; Arecaceae. The record is from RNAcentral.